UCGGGCGGCAGAGGCAAGUGGUUCUUUGUGAGUUCAAGGCCUGCCUGGUCUACAGAGCAAGUUCCAGAACACCUAGGACUGUUACACAGAGAAACCCUGUCUUGAAAACAAACAAACUAAACCAUGUAAAUAAAUUUUAAAAGGCUACUCAAUCCAGGUUUUUUGGACAGAAUCCUAUGGUGUAUUGAUCACUGUGGCUUCGCUUUGGCCAGGAGCCGUGAACCAAGAGUUCUUUAUAAAUGAGUCCUGAAUCCAGGACAAAGCAAACUGCCAGCACUUUGAGCUCAUAGCUAUUCUCUGAAGAGGGGGCCUAGUGUGUGUGUGUGUGUGUGUGUGUGUGUGUGUAUCUUUAAAAAAUAUUUAUUUUUUAUUUUUUACCUAUCUAGUGUUUUGCCCAUAUGCAUUUAUAUGCACACAUGUGUGCCUGGUGCCAGGGUCCAGAAGAGGGUGUCAGAGCCAUGGGAACUGGAAUUAUUGACGGUUGUAAGCCACCAUGUGGGUUAUUAUAAAGUUAUUAAAAUAUUAUUGUGACUAAAAGCCUGGCCUGAAUUGAGUGUAAUCCCUCAUUGGCAACUUGGUAAAGCCUAAUUUUCAGCAGGAACAAGCUUGACAUGAAGGCAGUAAGGGCACAAAUAGAUUAGACUUAAACGCCCCAUAAAAUGACUCGAGGCUUACAGCUGGGCCCUGCCGUUCUUCUGAAGAAUUAUGACUGAUUAGCAGUUCUAAGAAACUCUGAAAGAAAAGUGAGUCAUUCCAUGAAGGCAUUUGUCUGAAGGAAGUGAGCUGGAAUGCAAUGGUGGCAGUGAGUUAUUAUAAAGCAGCUAAUUCCAUGAAGAGUCAUUUGGUAUUUAUAACGGCGUCAUUGUCGAUUGAAUUAGUAAAGAAUAGAAGUGACUCAAUGGUCUGUGAUGAGCAGAGAAUGACAAAGGGGAGACAGUAACGGAGGAUUUGGUGGUGAAGAGAGAAGAAAAGCAGGAGAAAAGAAAAAGCCAUAAUUGCAUUUGUUUAUAAAUUCACUCACUGCCAGCCGUGGAGGCUGUGAUUCCAGCCCACUGCAGGCUGAAGCAGGAGGAUAACUAUGACCUCAAAGUCAUCCUGAGCUACAUAGUGAUUCCAGGCAAAUUGUCCAAUGGCACCAAGUCAGAGUACAGGGGAGGUCAAGCCUCAUCAACGCCUUGUUCAAGCCACUGCUGAUCAUCCGGGAGAGGAAAAGCUAUGGAUACCAUCAAGGAGUGACAAAGAUUAGACGUCAACAGGAGAGACCUUUUGGUUAUAAGACUAGCAAAUGCCUCUCAUUUGAUCAGGAAGAUAGAAGCAUAGAACUAAGGAAUAUAAAGGCCACUGGACAAAGGAGACAGCUGAAGAAGGAUGAAUCAUUAAGAGAAAAUUUUCCAAGAAGAAGAGUAAGUUGGCCUAAUGUCAUAGCACACCUCUAAUAGAGUAGAAUUUCAUAAAUCUACCCAAAUGCUUGUUUUUGCUGCUCUCUACAAACAUAAAAGGCAAAUUGUCUUAUUGUGGUCCCAAUUCAACUAAAAUUCAAAGCUAGCUCUGGAGUUGGAGCAUGGCUCUCUCCUUCUCUAAACCUACACAUGCUUGUUAAAGGAAAAUCCAAAAUCUCUGUAUUAUGUCAGAUGAGCCACCUGGUAUGGAAGAGAAGAAAACCAAAAUUAAGGGACUAUUCUAUUGCCAAUAACCCCAUAAUCCUUUAGUUUUAUUUUGACGCUUUAAAACUUUUCUUAAAAUAUAAAUAUUAUCUCAAAAUCUAUAAGAUUUUUUAUAUAUACUAUCUGCUGGAAUAUUAGUAGUCAUACAGAGUAUUAACUAAUUUUGGAAAUAAACUUCAUCUCACUUCCUGUA
Molecule: long non-coding RNA, 1857 nt
Organism: Peromyscus californicus insignis
Lineage: Eukaryota; Metazoa; Chordata; Mammalia; Rodentia; Cricetidae
Exons: 4
Source: RefSeq, a predicted model, not a curated record